This 58-nucleotide transfer RNA is filed under the name Salmo salar (Atlantic salmon). It matches the Rfam family "tRNA", at positions 8 to 63 of the family's 71-position model. From Rfam's summary of the family: Transfer RNA (tRNA) molecules are approximately 80 nucleotides in length. Their secondary structure includes four short double-helical elements and three loops (D, anti-codon, and T loops). The record is from Rfam by way of RNAcentral. Lineage: Eukaryota; Metazoa; Chordata; Actinopteri; Salmoniformes; Salmonidae.
UGGCUCAGUUGGUAGAGCAUGGUACUUGCAAUGCCAGGGUUGUGAGUUUGAUUCCCGU